GACGAACGCUGGCGGCGUGCUUAACACAUGCAAGUCGAACGGAAAGGCCUGCUUUCCCUUGUGCUUUUCUUGUACUCGAGUGGCUAACUGAUGAGUAACACGCGAGUGAUCUGCCCCCAACUUACUUCUAAGCCUGGGAGACUGGGUCUAAUUCCCUUUAGUACUGCAUGGUGCUGCCUUUGGUGGCAAACGUUUUUCUACUUGUUGGGGAUGAGCUCGCGGCCUAUCAGCUUGUUGGUGGGGUAAAUGCCUACCAAGGCGGCGACGGGUGGCCGGAGUGAGAGGGUGGACGGCGACAUUGGGACUGGGAUAAGGCCCAGACUGCUACGGGAGGCAGCAGUGGGGAAGAUUGGACAAUGGGCGGGAGGGAGAAGCAGCGACGGAGCGUGGGGGAUGAAGGGAUCGGGGUAGUAAACUACUAGCGAACGAGAGGAAGGCAAGUGGUUGGAAGGGUGGUGACGGUAGUGGAAGAAGAAGCACCGGCUAACUACGUG
RNAcentral lists this ribosomal RNA (494 nucleotides) under uncultured bacterium. RNAcentral describes it as "partial 16S ribosomal RNA". It matches the Rfam family "Bacterial small subunit ribosomal RNA", at positions 28 to 507 of the family's 1533-position model. The record is from RNAcentral.